RNAcentral lists this transfer RNA (60 nucleotides) under Condylura cristata (star-nosed mole). RNAcentral describes it as "tRNA-Ser". Lineage: Eukaryota; Metazoa; Chordata; Mammalia; Eulipotyphla; Talpidae. The record is from RNAcentral.
GAGGUAGAAUGACAAGAACUGCUAAUUCAUGCCACCAUAUUUAACCAUAUGGCUACCUUA